GACGAACGCUGGCGGCGUGCCUAAUACAUGCAAGUCGAACGCAGUGGGGACGGUUGAGUAACACGUGGGUAACCUCCCAUCAGAGGGGAUAACACUUGGAUACUGGUGCUAAACCGAUACUGAUGGAUGUACUCGGUGGGCAUUAGCUAGUUGGUGGGGUAACGGCUCAGCAAGGCCACGAUGCAUAGCUGACCUGAGAGGGUGAUCGGCCACACUGGGACUGAGACACGGCCCAGACUCCUACGGGAGGCAGCAGUAGGGAAUAUUCGGCAAUGGGCGAAAGUCUGACGGAGCAACGCCGCGUGAGUGAAGAAGGUUUUCGGAUCGUAAAACUCUGUUGUUAGAGAAGCGGUAUCUAACCAGAAAGCCACGGCUAACUACGUGCCAGCAGCCGCGGUAAUAC
RNAcentral lists this ribosomal RNA (403 nucleotides) under uncultured bacterium. Its description in RNAcentral is "partial 16S ribosomal RNA". It matches the Rfam family "Bacterial small subunit ribosomal RNA", at positions 28 to 526 of the family's 1533-position model. The record is from RNAcentral.